RNAcentral lists this long non-coding RNA (578 nucleotides) under Volvox carteri. RNAcentral describes it as "long non-coding RNA (VCAR_LNC002210)". Lineage: Eukaryota; Viridiplantae; Chlorophyta; Chlorophyceae; Chlamydomonadales; Volvocaceae. The record is from RNAcentral.
AGGGAACGGCAAUGGCUUAGUGAACACAGCUAUAACCAAAGGGAAGGUACUCGGGCACUCGUUAGCUUCUUCCACCUUCGGUCACCCCGAUAAGGUUAGCAUUCGCGGGCGCUCGGGGUCGCUCUGGAUCCCGGAACCGGAACUAGGCCUAGGGCUGCGAUAGGCAGCGACCUCUUACGGAUCCAUUCUUACGGUUUUCUGCCCUGCCCGCCCCCAACAAGUGCCUCCAUUCUAGUAAGGUCUAGAAUCGACCUUGCUCGAAGGUAAAUGAUGUUGUAAAAGCUGCUGCUGCUGCGUGUCAUCAGGUGGCGGCUGUGAGCCCGGACACCUCAGUGGAGCAGAGCACACAAACGACGCCUCCAAGCAGCUGCUGUUGCUGCUGCUACUGCUGCUACUGCUGCUGCUGCUGUUACUGCUGCUGCAGGUCUUUGGCGUGCGUGGAGCGAGCUGGCGGGUUUCGCCCGGUUUUGGAAUGUGUUAUUAUGGCUGUCAAGUUCUUGGGGUACAGCUGGCGCGAAGCAAGGCAAGCAAGCUUUGGGCAGGGGGCCGGUAUGGUUGCCGCACAGAGCAGGCGGCUC